This 479-nucleotide ribosomal RNA is filed under the name Schwartzia sp. canine oral taxon 042. RNAcentral describes it as "bacterial SSU rRNA". It matches the Rfam family "Bacterial small subunit ribosomal RNA", at positions 9 to 474 of the family's 1533-position model. The record is from RNAcentral. Lineage: Bacteria; Bacillati; Bacillota; Negativicutes; Selenomonadales; Selenomonadaceae.
GAGUUUGAUUCUGGCUCAGGACGAACGCUGGCGGCGUGCUUAACACAUGCAAGUCGAACGGGAAACUUUAUUUCGGUAAAGGAUCUAGUGGCAAACGGGUGAGUAACGCGUAGGCAACCUGCCCUUAGGAUGGGGACAACGGCCCGAAAGGACCGCUAAUACCGAAUGCACUCUAACUUCCGCAUGGAAGAAAGAGGAAAGAUGGUGCAAGCCAUCGCCGAAGGAAGGGCCUGCGUCUGAUUAGCCAGUUGGUGAGGUAACGGCUCACCAAAGCAACGAUCAGUAGCCGGUCUGAGAGGAUGAACGGCCACAAUGGGACUGAGACACGGCCCAUACUCCUACGGGAGGUAGCAGUGGGGAAUCUUCCGCAAUGGGCGAAAGCCUGACGGAGCAACGCCGCGUGAGUGAAGAAGGUCUUCGGAUCGUAAAGCUCUGUUGUUGGGACGAAAGGGAAAGGGAGGAAAUGCCCUUUUAAGACG